RNAcentral lists this ribosomal RNA (430 nucleotides) under uncultured bacterium. RNAcentral's name for it is "bacterial SSU rRNA". It matches the Rfam family "Bacterial small subunit ribosomal RNA", at positions 355 to 776 of the family's 1533-position model. The record is from RNAcentral.
UAGGGAAUAUUGCGCAAUGGACGAAAGUCUGACGCAGCCACGCCGCGUGAGUGAGGAAGGCCUUCGGGUUGUAAAGCUCUGUCGCCUGGGAAAAACGGCUAUUGGGGGAAAGUUCCAGUAGCGUGAUGGUACCAGGAAAGGAAGCACCGGCAAACUCUGUGCCAGCAGCCGCGGUAAUACAGAGGGUGCAAGCGUUGUUCGGAAUUACUGGGCGUAAAGCGUGCGUAGUCGGUAUUGAGAGUCGCGGGUGAAAUCCCAGGGCUUAACCCUGGAACUGCCUGCGAGACCUCAGUACUAGAGUGUGAGAGGGGAUAGUGGAAUACCCAGUGUAGCGGUGAAAUGCGUAGAGAUUGGGUGGAACACCGGUGGCGAAGGCGGCUAUCUGGCUCACAACUGACGAUCAGGCACGAAAGCGUGGGGAGCAAACAGG